CUGCGGCCAUCGCCGCGCGCCGCGCCAAAGAGGGGGACCCGAGCAGCCGCGGCAGUUACUAUGGCAACUGCCAAGCGCCGGGCCUAGCGGUGGACCGCGAAGCCUUGCGAGCGCAGGCAAAGGAAAGGGGGAAAGGGUGCUCGGCUCCGGAGGGUGUUGUCGCUGCGGUAGCCUGUCCUCCGUAGCGGCUCUGAAAGUCGAGGCACGCUCCGCGCCCUUGCAGUUGCAGCAGUGGCUCGACGGACGAAGCCGGGGGAAAGGCGCCCCCAGCAGCUACUUCCCGGUUCGCGGCUAUGCAGCCAACCUACUGAUAAUACCUAAUGCGGCUGCUAAAUUCUCGCCCGUAAUUUUUCCGACAUAAAUCCAGCGUAGAGACUGUCCUUGGGAACUUAUUGCCAAAAAAAAAAAAAGUGCAGAAGCCUUCCUGUGCAGCGACUUCCGUGCAAAGCAGUGGCUUUUUCCAUCAAGCCAUGCACGAACACACAGCGGGUGGAUCCUUUAGCAUCACACAGAUUAGCGAUCAACAACCCAGUGCUAUGCACACUGCAAGUCUUGCUGCUGUUUGUAGGGCUUGCUCCCAAAUAACUGCGUAAAAUUCAAUUUGAUUGAAUUCGGUAGCAACCAGCAGACACAGACAUAAAGCUCCAAUGUCACAGGAACAGAUGCCACAGACCUAGCGGGACUUACUUCAAAGUAAAUAAACGAAGAUUUUAUUCUUUUUAAAAGCAAGCUUCAUGACAGACGGGGGAUUUGUACCUGGGCCUCCUCGUAAUUCACAAUCCAUGCAUUUGGGGGGGGGCAUGAGAAGUAACCAGGGUGUUGUUUAAGUAGAUGUGUUUGGAUCCAUACAGUCACUAAAGAGUUAUUUUAAGCUAAAAUGCAACAAAUGCUGCAGAGUGAGGGGAAACUUGUGGCUCACCACUAUAUUAAACUGUGGCACUCAAGCAACCACAUCCUACACAGGAAUCUGAAUAGCACUGAAUGCUUUCUGUGUGGUAAGCACCAUAUUUUCACAGGUAAAAAAUAGUGCACAAUGACUUGGAAAACCAUGAUAUCCCUGACAGAAAGGCAGUUUGAGGGAUUAUAGGCUGUUGGUGCAUGCAAAGGGGGGUGCACAUUUAUUGCACAAAAACAACAGCAUGCACCUGUAAACGGAACAAAUAUAUUUCUUUUUCUGUGCUUUUGCUGGUAAAAAAAAGGUGUCCCUGAAUCUGGUCAUUUCAUGUGAUGUGAAUGGUCUAUGGUUCAAUCCUAGCAAUGUUCAUUUGCAAGUAAGUCUCAUUAAUUUCAAUAGCACUUCCAAGGAAAGUUAUUGUAUAAGAUGCGUAAGAAGGCCUUUAGGAGUAGAGUACACCUGGAUAUAAGAUACAUGCCCCAUCUCACUUUUUCCUUCUUGACCCUGUCUUGCCCAUCUAUUUCUGAUAUGCAGGGUCUUGUCCACACCUGGCACCAUAUAUACGUGAUAUAGUAGAAUUAGUGGACACACUAGAAAAGCAGACAGCUUGCUCAAAUGCAGUGUAAGCAAUCCAACUGAACACCACAUCAGACAGACAAGUUUACUGCAAUGCAGACAUGGCCUAUUAAAGGAAGCACAACUUAAGUUAUUGUGUUCCACUUCAUUAAGGUCAGUUCCCAAAGUAAGGCACACAGCUCUUGUUCUAGCAACUUACAAAUAAAAUAGCCUCAAUAAAAUGCUGAC
Molecule: long non-coding RNA, 1699 nt
Filed under: Podarcis lilfordi (Lilford's wall lizard)
Lineage: Eukaryota; Metazoa; Chordata; Lepidosauria; Squamata; Lacertidae
Source: RNAcentral